This is a long non-coding RNA of Dreissena polymorpha, 5020 nucleotides long. RefSeq lists it as uncharacterized. The record is from RefSeq and is a predicted model, not a curated record. NCBI's taxonomy places the organism in Eukaryota, Metazoa, Mollusca, Bivalvia, Myida, Dreissenidae. The transcript is spliced from 3 exons.
CAAGUUUUAAAAAAUUUGUCAUCAUUAGAGCAUGAUGUCAUACAAAAUAAUGUUAAGUAGUAGACCAUAGUGAUCUGGCAGUCAGUCUGUAGUCAUCUGGUGAAUUUCAUCUGUAGGUUAUGAGCGGUCUUACCUGAAACUAUACAUGACACUGGGCGAGGCUCGCUGUUUUGUUUUGUGUAGAAUUGUACAACUUUUCAUAGUUCAGACAUAAUUUUGAGAAUAAAUGCUAUAAGUAUAUCUUGCCCUUGGUUUGAGCUAAAAUAAACAUUUCACUAGUAUUUACAUGAUGGAAUUCAAGCUAAAUAUAUCCGCUUGCGGGAUUCCCUACACAAGAAAUCGACGAAUCCCAUGAAAUAGUUUCCUGAUAAAUCUUAACACCCAUUCGCUCUCUCAUUGACAAGGAAACACUGUGUCUGUUUUAUAUCCGGAGGUUACAGUGCUAUAUUGGAUUUAAGUUCCUCUAAAUAUUCGGACCGAUUGUGACGUAAAUGUUGGAUGCCUCAAACGGACCAUUGUUGAUGGUCAUGGCAGUGUCUGCCCGGGUAACCUCCUGACACCUCAGAGUGUUAUGCCGGCGCGUAUUGCGCGUGUGCACGAGCAGUAUGGCCCCAUUGCCCGCCUCCCCGUCACUCCUCAUACUUUCAUCCACAUUGAACGGCACCUGUAACAUGAAAGUUUAAGGAGUUCAGGAGAAGCGUGCAGUGAAAGCAGCGUGGCAUCCGCUAUGAUCACCACCGUAUAUGUAUACAGAGGAUCACCACCGUGUCCAGUGCACAUAUUAUACAGUCCAAGACGCCGCGCUGAACAGCAACUCUCGAUCACGGGACACGUUUUAAAAUAUAUUAACCGGUCGAGUAACAAGUAGUUGUAAUAGGCCAACUCCCUGCUUUAGACACACGCGGUUACUGGGAGUUGCAACUGGUAACGGCAUUUUCCGUGGAAACUCUCUCGCUUUGAAUUCAUGUGGCACUUUAAUAGGUAAUACCCCCGAUACACCGACUCCGCUCGAAGUACGUUCUGAAAAAUGUGACUAAACUGGCUCGAACUGUGUGAGAACGGAGUGAUCGUAGUAGCAACGUGUAACGAACUGUCUUCGAUCUUUGUGGACGGCAUGGAACGGGGUUGAACGGGAAAGGUGUUUCAGAACUUUAAGUCUUCUCAAAAUUUUCGUCCGAUCAUCCCGUUCUACAAUUAAACGUAGUAACAACGUACUGGAAACGGAAUGGACGUAAUAAGAACGGAUAGGUCGUACUAAGGUCGGGUUAGGAACGUACCAGAACGUAGUGCGAUCGGACCGAAAUUACCUGUACGAUGCCACACCGAUCGAGUCCGUUUCCAGUCCGUCCAAUCCGUUCUCAGACAGACCGACCCCGUCCGCACUACGUUUCACGUACGAUCUUGUUUCGUGUAAAUAACUGAAGCUACCGGAGACACAGCGCGCUCCUUUUUAUAUUUAGUUUGGCAGUUUCAGGAUUUUCAAUACCUUCUGCCUUUUCUUGACGUUUUUCAGUUGCGAUAUUUAUUUGUGUUAUUUUUAAUUGCGACAGCCUUUAGCUGCACUGACAAUUUAGCAGAAUUAUUUCUUGGAGGCAUUACAAAUGUACGUCUGGUCGGCUCAAAGCGUGAAACAUCAAUGAGAACUGGCAGGAACGUAGUCGGUUUUAUAAUCGCCGUGCAGAACGUGGCUGCAACUACGUCCUAAACGUACUACCAACGUAGUAGGACGGAGUGAGAACUGCCUUUGAACGAGUUACCACUGCACAACGAAUAAACAAGAACUGCCUACGAAGGUGAUCGAACUGGCUGAUGACGGGCUCGGUCUGACUGGAAACGGUAUACCAACGGGGACAAUGGGAAAAUUGACCCGAUUUGAACUAGAUAAAGACGGACUGGCAACGGGAUAGGACGGGAUAGGAACGAGCUGCACGUACCGUGAACUGUGUAUGAAUGUCAUUCAAUCAUAUUGUAGAUUUUUUUCUGAUCUGAUCAAAACUACACGUUCAAGCAAGUUCACAUCCCGUUCUGCAUUUUCUUCAGAACGUGGUCGAACUGUCUAAGAACGUGCUUGGUGUAUGGGCUCCUAAAACUGGUUUGAAAACUCGCUUAACCUAAAAAGGAAGAUUCACAAGAAACAACAUGGCAAUGACACAAACUCGAAUACUCUAACAAGAGCAUUCGAGUUUGACCGUAAGUCGCUUACUGAAUUGUUAUAAGCAAAUAGGUAGCAGCAAUGUUGUUUUGUUGAUUGGGGUAGUUUUUAAGGAUUAAACAUUAAGCAUUAACGCCACAUAAAUACUUAGAAUCAACGAAUAUUUCGUAAAAAAGUUAACCCAUACAAAUUAGUGUUCCUUAUAGCCAAAAUUUUAACGUAAUAUAGAUUUAACGAGAUAAUAAAUGCUCGAUUUUAUUUUUGUGUGUGACAAUAUAUUCCCAUUUGAAUUUCCUGCGACUUUAUCCGAACAUUUACAAGCAAACGCCAAAUAUUAAUUGAUUUUGAGUAUUUAUGUGGCUUUAAGAUUUGGCAAUAGAUUUUCCAUCUACGUACAAGUUUUUUUUUAAAUAAAUAAUCAUAUAUGGAAAACUGCCCGCCUUUUUGGGACAUGUUUUUCAACGGACCGAAAUUAUUUUUUAAUUUGGCCGAGAUAUCAUAAGGCAAAUGUUUUGAGCAAGUUUACAGAUGAUUUAGCAAAAAUGGUGUCCUUUGGAGAGUCUACAAGCUCUUUUGUUUAAUUUAACAUAGUGGCCUUGUUUUUUCCCCACAAGAUCCAGUUUCGAACUCGAUUUAGCUACAUUGGGAAAAUUUCUUUUAAACAUUUUCAUGAUUUUAUUUUCUGAAGUUUCAUUAAUAUUGUUCAAUAUUUUAGUCUCUAGAGUUCUCACACGGCAUAUGUUGGUUACGGGCGACGAACGAAGGACAAAAGAUCACACUCAUCACGAUAGUUUUUAAAAAUUGGAUACAUACAUGAGCAUUGCAUGAUUGGUGCAGCUAUGUUCUAUGCAGUCCAGACUUCAAAAAAAGCACCAAGUUUUGAUACAUGGUGAGAUUAUAGCCCUCGAAGCCUUUCUUAAGACGUAACUGUCAUUGGGGGACGAACGAACGGACAAUGGACAGACAAACGCUCAACAACUACUUUUAGCACAACUAAGCAACCAUUAUUGCAACAAUAACUACACUAAAAGACAUAUAAGUAAAACGGCGUUUAUAUCCAUACUCUUUCAAAUUUACCUUAGUCGGUAUGUGCAUCCCAAUAUUAAAAUAUGGCACUUUUACCAUGACAUACAAGCAAUCGUCGUCGCUCAGCAAAAAAACACAGUUUGACAUUAUGUUGUAAAGGUUUAUAUUGUAUUAGUAGGUAAUACCACUUGGUUUCCGAAUCGAGUCACAUUAAGGAUAAUCAUUUUACAAACAUCAUCGGACAGGUCAGAACGGCAGAUUUACGCUCAUAAGCUUAAGUUGAAACUAAAUAAAAGAAACGUUGGUUUUAUCGUACUGCAAACCCAUGACGAAUAUUGUAUUGAAUACUAUUGGCACCGAAACUUGAAAUGCUUAAAUUGAAUCAACUAUGUCCAAGAAUCAAACGAUAACCUUGUACAAUUAUUCAGACAAUGAGAUUGUGUGUCAAGUAAAAAAUAAUAUUACACCAAAUAAUUAUGACUUGGUAUUCGUUUCUGAGUCAAACUGAUUAUAAAUAAAAUCUUGUGUCAUAGGUCAGUCACGAUGUUUCAAAGCGAUCUGUUCCAAUUUAUUAUGUUCCGUAAAUGACUGCAGAAAAUGAAAGCUGUGACGCAGUUUGUACGGAACACGUCCUGAUUGUUGAUUGUGCGGUAGGUUGUACUUGAACUUUGGCUGGCGUUCAGCCAUUAUUUCCCUAUCAGUGUCAAUGGAUUUCCAUUAACGUACAUAUGAGAAGGACUCACGAAUACAAGCUGUUUUUCAUUGGUCCAUGCGAUAUCAAAGAAAAGCACAAUCGUUCAGGAAACAAAUUGUUCAAAACCUCUGUGUCACAAGGUUAUUCCAGAACACGUUUCAUAUUUAUUCGAAAAAGCACAUAUCGAACAAUACAUUUAUAGCCUUACCCACUGAACAUUAAUAGAAUUUUAUCAUUGUAAACUGGAACAUAUUUUAACGCCUAUAACGAAAUUUCUUUGAAUAUGUCAUCACUUGGUGGUUGUGAUGUUAUAAAGAAUAUACAUAGACCGAAUAACUCAAGUUUUGCAAUAUCUUCGCUACAACUAUUGAUGAUGUCAUUAAUAAAUGUUUUAAUUAGUUUAAACAUAUUUAUUUUAGCUCGAUUGCAUAGAACGCCUAAGUCUUAUUUAAAACGCUCUCGAGUCCGUGUUUCUGGGACUAGAACCAGUACUUGGUGUCUAUGUGGGAAAUCUAAAGAACGCUCCCACAACGGGGAUCAAACUCGUGACCUCCAAAUCGCUAGGCGGACAUCAUAUCCACUACACCACUGCGACUUCAAUGUUUUAAUUCAAGAGUGAUGGAAUUCGAACAUUUUCAUAUACGGAAAUCAGGGUCUCAGAUAAUCAAAAUGUUCAAAAUGUUUAGACUCAACAAACAUGGACGGUCGAUUACUAAAGCAACAGGCCAGUGUCUGACUUACAGACAGAAAUAUUUCCUAUUAUCAUUUUAGGCAUUUACAUUUAUUCUGUUGUUCGAAAUUAAUAUCAAUUUUGUUUUUAAAGAAUUAUUUUUAUGUUUUUGUUGUUUUCGAACCAGUAAACUAGUUUUGGGCGCUGCGCGCCUCUACAUACAUAAAUACAUACAUACGCACGCACAGAAAAGCAAGCAUUCGCGCACGCACACACGCACACAUGCACACACCAGUUAUUUAUAUAUAUGCUCGGUAGAACAAUUUAUUUGAUGGUAUCAAUACUGUUGCAUUUAAUUUACGUUCAAAGAUGUUUGCAAACACGAAGCUCUUAAAUGUGAUGAAUAUAUUUUUAAAGGACGCCCACGCUCGUUCAGUACGUUGUUUGUGAGCAUGACUAAUAAAUAAAUAAAUGAAAA